Molecule: long non-coding RNA, 562 nt
Organism: Symphalangus syndactylus (siamang)
Lineage: Eukaryota; Metazoa; Chordata; Mammalia; Primates; Hylobatidae
Source: RefSeq, a predicted model, not a curated record
UAAUUUCUGAUGUAAAGAGCAUGAUGCCAUGCACAAAUGGGCCCUCAGUGACUAUCCGAUGCAGGGCCAGGCACUGAAUGCAGAGAAUCAUGCCAGGCUAGGCUGGUGGUCCCAGAGGAGGAUAAGAGGCUCAUGGAGCAGAGUUGCCUGAUGAGGCCCAGCCAAGAUCAGCAGACCCUCAACCAACACAUAGACACAUGAACCAGAUAAAUGGUAUUGUUAUUUGCCACUGAGAGAUGGAUCAUCCCUAGAAGAUGGUGGUAUCUCUGGCCAUACCCAGGAAAGGCGCCACAGAUGCUCAAGUACAAGUGCAGGUCUAGGCAUCAGCUACCACCCCAUCUGCUGGUGGUGCUAAUACUUCUCCGGGAUACCUCCCCUCCAGUCUUUUCCACCCCUACAGGGUCAGCACUGCUCUUAAGCCUUCAAGUGUCACAUCUGCAUGGCAGCUGCCAGCAAAAGGGAGAAAAAUCUCUGUAUCCCUUCAGGUGACACUAGCUGCUGUAUGGAUAAACACCUAAAUCUCACUUGGCUGAAUGCAAUAAAAGUUUAUCUGGUGCUCACA